RNAcentral lists this ribosomal RNA (497 nucleotides) under uncultured bacterium. Its description in RNAcentral is "partial 16S ribosomal RNA". It matches the Rfam family "Bacterial small subunit ribosomal RNA", at positions 28 to 507 of the family's 1533-position model. The record is from RNAcentral.
GAUGAACGCUGGCGGCGUGCCUAAUACAUGCAAGUAGAACGCUGAAGCUUGGUGCUUGCACCGAGCGGAUGAGUUGCGAACGGGUGAGUAACGCGUAGGUAACCUGCCUGGUAGCGGGGGAUAACUAUUGGAAACGAUAGCUAAUACCGCAUAACAGUAGAUAUUGCAGGAUAUCUGCGUGAAAGGUGCAAAUGCAUCACUACCAGAUGGACCUUCGUUGGAUUAGCUAGUUGGUGAGGUAACGGCCCACCAAGGCGGCGAUACAUAGCCGACCUGAGGAGGUGAUCCGCCCACCUUGGACUGGGGACCCGCCCCGGCUUCCUCGGGGAGCAGCAGUAGGGGAUCUUUGGCCAUGGGGGGAACCCUGACCGCACAACGCCGCGGGGGUGGAGGAGGUUUUCGGGUCGUAAAGCUCCGUUGUGAGGGGAGAAAGAGCGUGAGAGUAGAACGUUCACACUGUGACGGUAUCUUACCAGAAAGGGACGGCUAACUACGUG